Molecule: ribosomal RNA, 413 nt
Filed under: Escherichia coli
Lineage: Bacteria; Pseudomonadati; Pseudomonadota; Gammaproteobacteria; Enterobacterales; Enterobacteriaceae
Description: partial 23S ribosomal RNA
Rfam family: Bacterial large subunit ribosomal RNA
Source: RNAcentral
GGUUAAGCGACUAAGCGUACACGGUGGAUGCCCUGGCAGUCAGAGGCGAUGAAGGACGUGCUAAUCUGCGAUAAGCGUCGGUAAGGUGAUAUGAACCGUUAUAACCGGCGAUUUCCGAAUGGGGAAACCCAGUGUGAUUCGUCACACUAUCAUUAACUGAAUCCAUAGGUUAAUGAGGCGAACCGGGGGAACUGAAACAUCUAAGUACCCCGAGGAAAAGAAAUCAACCGAGAUUCCCCCAGUAGCGGCGAGCGAACGGGGAGGAGCCCAGAGCCUGAAUCAGUGUGUGUGUUAGUGGAAGCGUCUGGAAAGGCGCGCGAUACAGGGUGACAGCCCCGUACACAAAAAUGCACAUACUGUGAGCUCGAUGAGUAGGGCGGGACACGUGGUAUCCUGUCUGAAUAUGGGGGGAC